Molecule: ribosomal RNA, 301 nt
Filed under: uncultured bacterium
Lineage: Bacteria
Description: partial 16S ribosomal RNA
Rfam family: Bacterial small subunit ribosomal RNA
Source: RNAcentral
CAGCAGCCACGGUAAUACGUAGGUGGCAAGCGUUGUCCGGAAUUAUUGGGCGUAAAGGGCUCGCAGGCGGUUUUUUAAGUCUGAUGUGAAAGCCCCCGGCUCAACCGGGGAGGGUCAUUGGAAACUGGGAAGCUUGAGUGCAGAAGAGGAGAGUGGAAUUCCACGUGUAGCGGUGAAAUGCGUAGAGAUGUGGAGGAACACCAGUGGCGAAGGCGACUCUCUGGUCUGUAACUGACGCUGAGGAGCGAAAGCGUGGGGAGCGAACAGGAUUAGAUACCCCCGUAGUCCCUGUCUCUUAUAC